ACCCAACACGAACACCUCCCUUACUCGCACAGGGGUUCUGUAAUACCCUAACAAUGCGCUAUCUCGUCUCUCUUGUUUGCCUGCAAUGGUAUCUCUCUAUUUUGCUCAGAUAUUCCCAGCUCAAACUUACUGGAAUCCUCUCGUUCCCUUUUUCCUUCUCUAUGUAUACACUCAUGCCUCUUUGUCCAGGAACUUGUGUAUUAAGCCGCGUACACACGGCCAUUUUGUCGUCUUUUGGAACCGAUCGCGUAUGGACUCCGAAAGAUUUCUUUCGUUUUUUUCCUAUAACAACUGUUUACCGUCCAGAAUUUAAUUAGGAAAUCGUGUCAUCCUCUUCGUUUAUCUCAUAUCGUAUUCUUUGUGAGUCAUAUGUUCCUCUGAUUUUUUUAUUUUUUUCGCUUACGGAGACCUCGGUUACUCAACCUAACGCUACAUUAUACCUCGUACACACUUUCACGAUACUCGAUACUACAUUUUUCUCUCUUCUUCCUUUCGAACACAAGAACGUUUCAUACUUUCCAUAAGUCGUCUCAUUCCCGCUCAUUUGCACCUCUAUCUCUGUCUCUCGUUAGUGUGCGCGCUCACAAGGCGACCACCUCCCACCAUUCCGUGCACCUGAACCCUCCAUUUUGUUGCGCAUGUAUCUCUGUCUUCGUUCAACGCCAUCUCCUCUCCUUAUCGCGAAUGCAACGCGAAUUCUCCGUCUUUGUUUCGCCAGCGAUCCUCUGGAUUUUGCGUAUUUGCUCGCUCACGGGGCCCCACUAUCAGGAUAGGGUCACCUUAUUCGGUCGGGGCGAAAAAAAAAAAGUUCUAUCACUCGGUGAGCACGUGCUCGUUCAGACCUCCCUACCUCGGCUGCAUGCCUGCUUACCGAGCAUGUUCCAGGUUAUCGCAGGCCGAUUCUUCGCCGCAUGAUUUUCUGUUUACCGAGCGUCAAGAUAUUAGCGCGAAGCACGGUUAUUAGUGACGUGUCUUGACAGACGAUCUCCGAUAGAAUUUAGGAAUAUUUUCAAGAACGAUCGAUCGGUUCGAAGAGCGUCCAGAAUCAUUGAGUUGGAGGGAUUGAUCAACUUUUUCUGAUCCCUCUGUGAACGACCCUUGUACCCAUUAUUGUUUAUUAAUAUUCACCAAGUUAAUUUUUACUUAAUUACUGAAUUUGUAAAUAAACGAUAUGAUACUGGAAAUUUAAUAUUUAUGUCAAAAAGUGAUUCGCAACAAAUUGUGACGUAUACGAAAAUUGCAACAUUUCCGCAGACUGAAAUAAAUGAGGAUUGUUUAGAUUGUUAUCAAUUAUCUGUUAUCUAACGCAUGCUCGGUAAUUCAUAAGGCAGGAAAGUAAACUGAUAGUAUGCAACAUCUAUACUGUUCGUUUCAUGAAAGAGAAAAAGCAUUGCAGAAUACAGUUUCAGAUAACAACAAUUUGAAUGAUUUGCUGUAGGUCAGUGAAGAAUAAUCAGUCAGAAAAACAACAUUUUCGAAUUUGCACUUUAUCGCAAAACAAGAAAUAUUUUCUUGCUACAAAUGAAAAAAUUCGAAAUUCCUCUACCUGGUUCCUUUACAAUUGUACCCUAUACAACCCAUAACCUUAACCGUAUUCUAUUGGACCCUUAACAAAGUUCUUUCAGUACUUUUCCACUGCUUUCACUCUCCUCUGUGCCAUGCCCUCGGAAGAGGGACAAAAUGGAAGUCGAGAAAUGCGCAAGCUCCUCGUUAAAUCGAUCUAAACUGGUAUUUCAUGUUAUACAUUAUUCGACAAGUGUAAUCAAUACCUCUAACAAUAAACUGACAUUUUACCUCUUUUAUA
Osmia bicornis bicornis is the source of this 1804-nucleotide long non-coding RNA. RefSeq lists it as uncharacterized. The record is from RefSeq and is a predicted model, not a curated record. The transcript is spliced from 2 exons. Lineage: Eukaryota; Metazoa; Arthropoda; Insecta; Hymenoptera; Megachilidae.